AGUGAACGCUGGCGGUAGGCCUAACACAUGCAAGUCGAACGGCAGCACCGUAAGAGCUUGCUCUUACGGGUGGCGCGUGGCGGACGGGUGCGGUAUACAUCGGAAUCUACUUUUUCGUGUGGGAUAACGUAGGGAAACUUACGCUAAUACCGCAUACGACCUACGUGUGAAAGCAGGGGAUCUUCGGACCUUGCGCGGUUGAAUGAGCCGAUGUCGGCUUAGCUAGUUGGCGGGGUAAAGGCACACCAAGGCGACGAUCCGUAGCUGGUCUGAGGGGGUGGUUCCACAGACGGGAUCUGAGGAACAGUCGAGACUCUGACGGGGGGAAGCAGUGGGGACUAUUGCGCGAUGGACGAGAGCCUGAUACUGCAAUAUCGCGGGGGUGAUGAAGCCCUUCGGGUUGUAAAGCCCUUUUGUUGGGAAAGAAGAGCAGCAGUUUAAUACCCCGCUGUUCUGACGGUACCCAAAGAAUAAGCACCGGCUAACUUCGUG
Molecule: ribosomal RNA, 492 nt
Filed under: uncultured bacterium
Lineage: Bacteria
Description: partial 16S ribosomal RNA
Rfam family: Bacterial small subunit ribosomal RNA
Source: RNAcentral